Molecule: long non-coding RNA, 161 nt
Organism: Sebastes umbrosus (honeycomb rockfish)
Lineage: Eukaryota; Metazoa; Chordata; Actinopteri; Perciformes; Sebastidae
Exons: 2
Source: RefSeq, a predicted model, not a curated record
GCUUAAAAGUGUUAAAUCAGUUUCACUACAAUUUACACUGUUAUUAACAAAUAUGGCGAUCAGUGUCCCCCAGAAGAUGGCGCCCUAGGCGACCGCCUAUAUGGCGUAUGCCUUAAGCUGGUCCUGCCUGUCAUGUUUAAUAUUUAUCACAGGUCUUAAAA